GGCAAAUAUUAUGGGAUCGCACCUCAGCUAAUGUCUUCGAGGCUUAGGAGCUCUCGAGUUGACAAGAAUACUGAUAUGAUCCUUGACUGCUGACCUCAUCAGGAGGUCGAGCUCAUCAAAAAGUCAUCCUCAUCAGGAGGUUAAGCUCAACAGAAGGCCGACCUCAUCAGAAAGUCAAGGUCAUCGAAAAGCCGACCUCAUUAGAAGGCUGAGAUC
Molecule: long non-coding RNA, 216 nt
Filed under: Elaeis guineensis (African oil palm)
Lineage: Eukaryota; Viridiplantae; Streptophyta; Magnoliopsida; Arecales; Arecaceae
Description: long non-coding RNA (EGUI_LNC050338)
Source: RNAcentral